RNAcentral lists this ribosomal RNA (87 nucleotides) under Torymus sinensis. RNAcentral describes it as "partial 5.8S rRNA". The stretch from base 16 to 87 matches the Rfam family "5.8S ribosomal RNA", at positions 1 to 75 of the family's 154-position model. Rfam says of the family: 5.8S ribosomal RNA (5.8S rRNA) is a component of the large subunit of the eukaryotic ribosome. The record is from RNAcentral. Lineage: Eukaryota; Metazoa; Arthropoda; Insecta; Hymenoptera; Torymidae.
AAUUGUAAAAAUGAUUACCCUGAACGGUGGAUCACUUGGCUCGUGGGUCGAUGAAGAACGCAGCUAAUGCGCGUCAACUGGAACUGC